GCCUGGGUGGCUUAGUCGGUUAAGUGUCUGACUUCGGCUCAGGUCAUGAUCUGGCAGUCCGUGAGUUCAAGCCCUGCAUCAGGCU
RNAcentral lists this transfer RNA (85 nucleotides) under Felis catus (domestic cat). It matches the Rfam family "tRNA". From Rfam's summary of the family: Transfer RNA (tRNA) molecules are approximately 80 nucleotides in length. Lineage: Eukaryota; Metazoa; Chordata; Mammalia; Carnivora; Felidae. The record is from Rfam by way of RNAcentral.